CCUACGGGAGGCAGCAGUGGGGAAUAUUGCACAAUGGGGGAAACCCUGAUGCAGCGACGCCGCGUGAGUGAAGAAGUAUUUCGGUACGUAAAGCUCUAUCAGCAGGGAAGAAAAAAAGUCCUUUGGACUUAGGACGGUACCUGACCAAGAAGCCCCGGCUAACUACGUUCCAGCAGCCGCGGUAAUACGUAGGGGGCAAGCGUUAUCCGGAUUUACUGGGUGUAAAGGGGGCGUAGACGGCAGCGCAAGUCUGGAGUGAAAGGCCGGGGCCCAACCCCGGAACUGCUUUGGAAACUGGGUAGCUGGAGUGCAGGAGAGGUAGGCGGAAUUCCUGGUGUAGCGGUGAAAUGCGUAGAUAUUAGGAGGAACACCAGUGGCGAAGGCGGCUUACUGGACUGUAACUGACGUUGAGGCUCGAAAGCGUGGGGAGCAAACAGGAUUAGAUACCCUAGUAGUC
This 457-nucleotide ribosomal RNA is filed under the name uncultured bacterium. Its description in RNAcentral is "partial 16S ribosomal RNA". It matches the Rfam family "Bacterial small subunit ribosomal RNA", at positions 338 to 795 of the family's 1533-position model. The record is from RNAcentral.